GCCCAACAAUUCCAGUUCUAGAACUGAUCCUACAAAUGCAAAAUGAUGGGACAGAAUACAUUUCAGCUCCAAAACCAGCAUUGUCUUUAAUGGGGACUCCUAGAGGCAUUCCCACCAAGUUAGGAACAAGACAGCACGCCCACUGUUACCAGCGUAAAUCAACAAUGUACCGGAGGUGCUAACCCACACAAUAAGGCAACAUCUCCAGCAUGAAGCCCACUGGCCUCAUGUCUGUACUUCUGGAGUCCAGGUGAGCAAAGGUCACCUGCCCACUGGACUUGGCCCACAUGGACUACACCUGAGCCACCAAUCCUCUUGGAGGCCUUCUUGCCUCUAUUUGCUGCAUUCCUUCUUCUCCCCUUUGGACUGCGAGCUCCUCAAGGGAACAGCCUAUAGCUUCCUAUUCAUCUCCCACUCACCCGACCUGCCACACUGGCCAGCCCACUGGAUGGGAGGUAACAGUGUGCUGGACAUUCUGAGGGCUGCAGGGGCCUCCUGUGGACCCUGCUCUCUUGCAGGUGACCCAUCAGUGCGCUGUACUUCUACAAAUUGUUGGAAUGGAGACUUUUUUUUUUUUCUAAGUUAUUUGAGUCAAAACGAUCUUGACGGGAAGCUGUUAGAGGUCUCAUGG
This 631-nucleotide long non-coding RNA is filed under the name Homo sapiens (human). RNAcentral's name for it is "novel transcript". Lineage: Eukaryota; Metazoa; Chordata; Mammalia; Primates; Hominidae. The record is from RNAcentral.